UACGGAGGAUGCAAGCGUUAUCCGGAUUUAUUGGGUUUAAAGGGUGCGCAGGUGGCUUUGUAAGUCAGUGGUGAAAGUCUGCCGCUUAACGGUAGGACUGCCAUUGAUACUGCAGAGCUUGAGUUUGGAUGAGGUAGGCGGAAUGUGUAGUGUAGCGGUGAAAUGCAUAGAUAUUACACAGAACACCGAUUGCGAAGGCAGCUUACUAAUCCACAACUGACACUGAGGCACGAAAGCUGGGGGAGCAAACCGG
RNAcentral lists this ribosomal RNA (253 nucleotides) under uncultured bacterium. RNAcentral describes it as "partial 16S ribosomal RNA". It matches the Rfam family "Bacterial small subunit ribosomal RNA", at positions 524 to 776 of the family's 1533-position model. The record is from RNAcentral.